Molecule: ribosomal RNA, 426 nt
Filed under: uncultured bacterium
Lineage: Bacteria
Description: bacterial SSU rRNA
Rfam family: Bacterial small subunit ribosomal RNA
Source: RNAcentral
GUGGGGGAUAUUGCGCAAUGGGGGAAACCCUGACGCAGCAAUGCCGCGUGAAGGAAGAAGGUUUUCGGAUUGUAAACUUCUUUUGUUAAGGACGAAGAAUGACGGUACUUAACGAAUAAGCUCCGGCUAACUAUGUGCCAGCAGCCGCGGUAAUACAUAGGGAGCAAGCGUUAUCCGGAUUUACUGGGUGUAAAGGGUGCGUAGGCGGCUAAGCAAGUCAGAUGUGAAAUACACGGGCUCAACCCGUGAGCUGCAUUUGAAACUGUUUAGCUUGAGUGAAGUAGAGGCAGGCGGAAUUCCCGGUGUAGCGGUGAAAUGCGUAGAGAUCGGGAGGAACACCAGUGGCGAAGGCGGCCUGCUGGGCUUUAACUGACGCUGAGGCACGAAAGCGUGGGUAGCAAACAGGAUUAGAUACCCUUGUAGUCC